UAUGGCCAUAUUGCAUUGAAACACCAGUUCUCGUACGAUCACAGAAGUUAAGCAAUGUCGAGUCUGGUCAAUAACUAGAUGGGUAACCACUUGGGAACACUAGGUGCUGUAA
Molecule: non-coding RNA, 112 nt
Organism: Acanthosepion pharaonis
Lineage: Eukaryota; Metazoa; Mollusca; Cephalopoda; Sepiida; Sepiidae
Source: the annotation of a GenBank genome assembly